This 66-nucleotide transfer RNA is filed under the name Phrynosoma orbiculare (mountain horned lizard). RNAcentral describes it as "tRNA-Ser". The record is from RNAcentral. Lineage: Eukaryota; Metazoa; Chordata; Lepidosauria; Squamata; Phrynosomatidae.
UUACAAACCAAGAGGUGUUCUGAACACCAAGAACUGCUAAUUCUUACUGCUGAAGUUAAAAUCCUC